AUUAGAGAAGCUGACCUAGCGUUAACCUUUUAAGUUAAAGCCUGGGAAUCCAAACUUCCCCUCAAUGA
This 68-nucleotide transfer RNA is filed under the name Choloepus hoffmanni (Hoffmann's two-fingered sloth). RNAcentral describes it as "tRNA-Lys". The record is from RNAcentral. Lineage: Eukaryota; Metazoa; Chordata; Mammalia; Pilosa; Megalonychidae.